GCGCGCACCCCCCCCACCACCAGCCAUGUCGCGACAGCGCCCCGCGCACCUGCCGCGUCCCCCGACCCGCCGCGUCCUACCGGGGGUACGGGCAAAGGGGCGCUCGGCUCUCCCUCGGUUCUCCCUGCCCGCGGGAGGCAGCGCGGUGCCGGCGCUGCCCCAGGUUGAUGCUGGUGCCUGUUAGCCUCGGGAGGGGACCGGAGCUGCCCGGCCAUCCAGGCCCAAUCCUGCAAUGACGGUGGAUCAUCUCCCUUCUCUCUCCCGUUCGUGCUUUGGGGUUGAAGUACCUGUGCUCUGCCCCUCUCAUUUUCAAGUGCCCGUGAAAUGAGCUGUGUAUCUACAGAUCAGUGUUUCAGAUAACCUCUGCUAUUAUUUUAUCAAAACUUUCAGGAGUUUUGUAGAAAUUAGUAAUGAUUUUAGCUGAAAAGAGUUAAUAAAGUGAGAAACAGUUUAUCCUUCUUUC
This is a long non-coding RNA of Pipra filicauda (Wire-tailed manakin), 463 nucleotides long. RefSeq lists it as uncharacterized. The record is from RefSeq and is a predicted model, not a curated record. NCBI's taxonomy places the organism in Eukaryota, Metazoa, Chordata, Aves, Passeriformes, Pipridae. The transcript is spliced from 2 exons.